RNAcentral lists this ribosomal RNA (904 nucleotides) under uncultured organism. Its description in RNAcentral is "bacterial SSU rRNA". It matches the Rfam family "Bacterial small subunit ribosomal RNA", at positions 19 to 966 of the family's 1533-position model. The record is from RNAcentral.
CUGGCUCAGGAUGAACGCUGGCGGUCUGCUUAACACAUGCAAGUCGAACGCAACCUUCGGGUUGAGUGGCGGACGGGUGAGUAACGCGUGAGAAUCUGCCUUGGGGUCGGGGACAACCACUGGAAACGGUGGCUAAUACCGGAUAAGCCUUUGGGUAAAAGAUUUAUUGCCCCAAGAGGAGCUCGCGUCUGAUUAGCUAGUUGGUGAGGUAAAAGCUCACCAAGGCAGCGAUCAGUAGCUGGUCUGAGAGGACGAUCAGCCACACUGGGACUGAGACACGGCCCAGACUCCUACGGGAGGCAGCAGUGGGGAAUUUUCCGCAAUGGGCGAAAGCCUGACGGAGCAAGACCGCGUGAGGGAGGAAGGCUCUUGGGUUGUAAACCUCUUUUCUCAGGGAAGAAGCUCUGACGGUACCUGAGGAAUCAGCCUCGGCUAACUCCGUGCCAGCAGCCGCGGUAAUACGGAGGAGGCAAGCGUUAUCCGGAAUUAUUGGGCGUAAAGCGUCCGCAGGUGGCGAUUCAAGUCUGCUGUCAAAGCACGGGGCUUAACUCCGUUAAGGCAGUGGAAACUGAAUAGCUAGAGUGCCGUAGGGGUAGAGGGAAUUCCCGGUGUAGCGGUGAAAUGCGUAGAGAUCGGGAAGAACAUCGGUGGCGAAAGCGCUCUACUGGACGGCAACUGACACUCAGGGACGAAAGCUAGGGGAGCGAAUGGGAUUAGAUACCCCAGUAGUCCUAGCUGUAAACGAUGGAUACUAGGUGUAGCUUGUAUCGACCCGAGCUGUGCCGAAGCUAACGCGUUAAGUAUCCCGCCUGGGGAGUACGCACCGCAAGUGUGAAACUCCAAGGAAUUGACGGGGGCCCGCACAAGCGGUGGAGUAUGUGGUUUAAUUCGAUGCAACGCGAAG